AUUGAACGCUGGCGGCAUGCCUUACACAUGCAAGUCGAACGGUAACGCGGGGCAACCUGGCGACGAGUGGCGAACGGGUGAGUAAUGCAUCGGAACGUGCCCAGAAGUGGGGGAUAGCCCGGCGAAAGCCGGAUUAAUACCGCAUGAGACCUGAGGGUGAAAGCGGGGGAUCGCAAGACCUCGCGCUUUUGGAGCGGCCGAUGUCAGAUUAGCUAGUUGGUGGGGUAAAGGCCUACCAAGGCGACGAUCUGUAGCUGGUCUGAGAGGACGACCAGCCACACUGGGACUGAGACACGGCCCAGACUCCUACGGGAGGCAGCAGUGGGGAAUUUUGGACAAUGGGCGCAAGCCUGAUCCAGCCAUGCCGCGUGCGGGAAGAAGGCCUUCGGGUUGUAAACCGCUUUUAUCAGGGAAGAAACGCUCUGGGCUAAUACCCUGGGGAAAUGACGGUACCUGAAGAAUAAGCACCGGCUAACUACGUGCCAGCAGCCGCGGUAAUACGUAGGGUGCAAGCGUUAAUCGGAAUUACUGGGCGUAAAGCGUGCGCAGGCGGUUAUGCAAGACAGAUGUGAAAUCCCCGGGCUCAACCUGGGAACUGCAUUUGUGACUGCAUGGCUAGAGUGCGGCAGAGGGGGAUGGAAUUCCGCGUGUAGCAGUGAAAUGCGUAGAUAUGCGGAGGAACACCGAUGGCGAAGGCAAUCCCCUGGGCCUGCACUGACGCUCAUGCACGAAAGCGUGGGGAGCAAACAGG
Molecule: ribosomal RNA, 751 nt
Filed under: uncultured beta proteobacterium
Lineage: Bacteria; Pseudomonadati; Pseudomonadota; Betaproteobacteria
Description: bacterial SSU rRNA
Rfam family: Bacterial small subunit ribosomal RNA
Source: RNAcentral